GAUGAACGCUGGCGGCGUGCCUAAUACAUGCCAGUCGAGCGAACAGAUGAGGAGCUUGCUCCUCUGACGUUAGCGGCGGACGGGUGAGUAACACGUGGAUAACCUACCUAUAAGACUGGGAUAACUUCGGGAAACCGGAGCUAAUACCGGAUAAUAUAUUGAACCGCAUGGUUCAAUAGUGAAAGACGGUUUUGCUGUCACUUAUAGAUGGAUCCGCGCCGCAUUAGCUAGUUGGUAAGGUAACGGCUUACCAAGGCUACGAUGCGUAGCCGACCUGAGAGGGUGGUCGGCCACACGGGAACUGAGACACGGUCCAGACGCCUACGGGAGGCAGCAGUAGGGAAUCUUCCGCAAUGGGCGAAAGCUUGACGGAGCAACGCCGCGUGAGUGAUGAAGGUCUUCGGAUCGGAAAACUCUGUUAUUAGGGAAGAACAAAUGUGUAAGUAACUAUGCACGUCUUGACGGUACCUAAUCAGAAAGCCACGGCUAACUACGUG
This 497-nucleotide ribosomal RNA is filed under the name uncultured bacterium. RNAcentral describes it as "partial 16S ribosomal RNA". It matches the Rfam family "Bacterial small subunit ribosomal RNA", at positions 28 to 507 of the family's 1533-position model. The record is from RNAcentral.